AAAUCGGUUCACAAAUCACAUCAACAGUUCAUUCGCGGAUUGGACUGAUCGUAUUGCAGCUGUUCUCGAGUCAACAAAUCACUGAUUCAAUGAUCCGUUCAGAGCGACUCUCCAGUAAAUGAAUUUCACUAUCUGACUGAAAAUUUGCCAAGAACUGGGGGAUCCUCUGAGUGCGCGCGACUGAUGGCGAAAAUUCGCCUGUAUGGUGUCUAUGGAGCCCCUAAAGGGACAUGCCAUGAUGAUGAUCAAAAAAGAAAAAAGAAAAAAAGAAAAAAAAAAGGUCUCUUGUACCAUCAGCUCAAACAUGACCUAAGAGACACAUCACCGGCUUUGGACUCUUGUCAUCACGGUUUACAGUUCCCCAUUUCCCUUUUUACCGGUCUGUCGUUAUCAUAUCCGAUUGAACAGGGUCAAUGGAAAAUACAACUUAUCUAUAACAACAAUGUAUAUGUAACUUAAAAUGUGUUAUACAUUAAAUAAAUGUCAAUCUUUUAAAC
Ctenopharyngodon idella (grass carp) is the source of this 497-nucleotide long non-coding RNA. RefSeq lists it as uncharacterized. NCBI's taxonomy places the organism in Eukaryota, Metazoa, Chordata, Actinopteri, Cypriniformes, Xenocyprididae. The transcript has 3 exons. The record is from RefSeq and is a predicted model, not a curated record.